Molecule: non-coding RNA, 82 nt
Organism: Pangasianodon gigas (Mekong giant catfish)
Lineage: Eukaryota; Metazoa; Chordata; Actinopteri; Siluriformes; Pangasiidae
Source: the annotation of a GenBank genome assembly
GAUUAAAAGUGAGGCAGUGGGAUUAAUAUCAGUGUAAUAUCUCGGGGUUAAUAACUAAAAGUGUUUGAUCUCAUAAGUAUUG